RNAcentral lists this long non-coding RNA (6345 nucleotides) under Coffea arabica (coffee). RNAcentral's name for it is "long non-coding RNA (CARA_LNC003120)". Lineage: Eukaryota; Viridiplantae; Streptophyta; Magnoliopsida; Gentianales; Rubiaceae. The record is from RNAcentral.
AGCAAGGCGUAAGAGGACUUUCUAGGGGUUGGGUACCAACCCUGCUUGGUUAUAGUGCUCAGGGAGCUUGCAAGUAUGGAUUCUAUGAAUUCUUUAAGAAAUACUACUCUGAUAUUGCUGGUCCUGAGUAUGCAGCCAAGUAUAAGACUUUGAUCUACCUCGCUGGCUCUGCAUCCGCUGAAUUCAUUGCUGUUGUUGCCCUUUGUCCCUUCGAAGCAGUUAAGGUUCGUGUCCAGACUCAACCUGGAUUCGCCAGAGGCAUAUCAGAUGGACUUCCCAAGUUUAUCAAGGCUGAAGGUCCACUUGGGUAAGGUUUUCAUUGCAUGUCAAGUAGUUGAUACAGUUUCUUAUUCUGCUGAUACAUUCUAAAGCCAAUCUUAUAUAUAAUUUAUAUUUUUCCAGGCUUUACAAAGGGCUUGUUCCUCUAUGGGGACGACAAAUUCCAUGUAAGCUUCCAUGUCUAUUUUCUUUCGCUAUCUUUACAUCUUAAUUCUCAAAGUGUUAUUCUUGGUCAUUUGCCUAUUCUGUCAUGGACAUGCUUUGCCAAUUUACAGCUCUAGCUUUCUGAUUUUCUCAAUGACAUCAUUGAAUAUUUUUAGAUCAUCUCCAAUUGCUUUUGUAAUAGUCUUUCAGUCUUAACUUCAAUUAGAGUUUUCAGUAGUGACUCACAAAUGCAGGCUAUUUAUUCAAUCACAAAAUACUAGGCAAUCUAUUUUCCUGAUAGUAUAUUGAGCAACAAGUAUAAUUAGCUUGAAGCUGCCGUGUGCAGAAACUAGUUUCUUCUGCAACAUCUUCAGUUACCGCGUGUCCCCUGCACAGACAUGAGGUUGCAGAUUACCUGCUUUUCAAGUCGAUCCCAAUUUUGAAAAUGAAACGUUAGACUCAUUAAAAAACACACGUACAUUAACUGCAUUAUGAUAUUUUUUUUUUUUUUUUGUAUUUGCAAACCAUGGUUUAUCCUCAGAAAAGGGCAAUUUCAUUUACUAUCACUAUAAAAAAAUUUUUAAGCUCCAUGUUAUGAUGCGAUAUGUACAUUCUUGAUAAUGUAGACUUUAGGUGUUGCAACGCAUUUCCAGUUGUGUGAUUUACUUUGGGAACUUAAUCAUAGGUUUAGAUGAAAGAGUCGGUAUACAUCUAUCCGUUACACGGAAAAUCCUUCUCUGCUACUCUCUAGUUUUCUGAAAAUAAGCAAAUGAACAAUGAGGUUUGGAUAUCAACAAGCAACUUUUGGAAAAAUUAUUCUGCUAAAAACACACAUCUUUUUCCAUUCCUUCUUACUUGGUAGUUACUUUCUAGAUAUACUCUCAGAAAAAUUGGUAGCCUUGUAUUUGCCAAAUAACCAGAAUGAUAUCUUUGCAGACACAAUGAUGAAGUUUGGAUCUUUCGAGACCAUUGUGGAACUUGUGUACAAGUAUGCCGUUCCAACUCCUAAAGAGCAGUGUAGCAAACCUUUUCAGCUUGGAGUUAGCUUUGCAGGUGGUUAUGUCGCUGGCAUUUUCUGUGCUCUUGUCUCACAUCCUGCUGAUAACCUGGUCUCUUUCCUCAACAACGCCAAGGGGGCGACCGUGGCUGAUGUAAGUAAAGAUAUAUAGCAGUAUUACUUACUGCCCUUAGGUUGAAAUUGUUAUCCAUCCUGUGUUAUUUCUCAUAUGAUUUCUGCUACAAUUUAUUUGCUGCAGGCUGUAAAGAACCUAGGCUUGUGGGGUUUAUUUACUCGAGGCCUUCCUCUUCGUAUAUUCAUGAUCGGUACCCUUACUGGAGGACAAUGGGGAUUGUAUGAUUCUUGCAAGGUUGCUCUUGGAUUGUAAGUUACUCAUUAACCUUUGCUUCUGGAGUCACUUGCAUCUUUUUAUGAUCUUCUUCCUGUAUAUCCUUUUCAGCAUUUGCAUUUUCAAGUCAUUAGUCCUUUUCAUGAAUUGAUAAGAUCUCUCUACUUGUGUUUUAGUUCUUUCUCUUGUAAUGAUAUGUUGCUCUUCCUCCUGCAGACCAACUACCGGUGGUGCUGCUCCUCCUGCACCAGCAGCAAGCUUGAGGGAUUCCCUGAUGAUCUGAGAACACAAGUUCCUUAUCUCUGUAGUCAGACAUUUUUUUGUAGGCCAUUCUUUUUAGGGAUAACAUUCAAAUUGAAAAGGUCAGAGCUGCCUUCCAGGUUGGCAUUUGAUCUUCUGGGAUUUGUAAUAUCUUCAAAGGCAUCAUUGUAUUUGCUAAAUCUGUAAUAAUAUGAAAACUAUGUAAUAAUAAGAGUAAACGUUGGAGGAAAAAAAAAAAAUUUUCGAGAAUUUUCUUUCGAAGUAACAAAUGUCUCGUGUCAAAAUCCCAAGCCAGUUGAAAACCUUUACAUGUCCCCAAAGUUCUGCUGUUAGUAGGAGUGGGCAAAAUUGAAAAAUUCUGAUUUAUCGAUCGAAUUCGAAUUGAAUUUGGAAUUUUCAGAAUCGGUAAUUCGGAAUUCGGCAUUGAAAUCAGAAUUUUCGAUUUCGAAUUAUGUGAAUUUGGUUCGAAUUCAGUAACGGAGUUUUUGAAAUCAAAAUUUAUGAUUUUAAUUUUGUUUUAUAAUAUAUAUAUUUAUAGAUAUAUUUAUAUAUAUAAUAAUAUUUUUAUAAUGUAUGUAAUAUAGAAUUUAUAUUAUAUAACAAUAUAUCAAACAAAAAAAAGGGGGAAAAAGGUUUUGAAUUCGGUGAAUUCGAAAUUUAUCGAAUUUCGAAUUGAAUUCGGAACUGGUGAAUUUGAAAUCGAAUUCGAUCAAUAAUUCUACUCCCAAAUUUUCAAAAAAUUCCGAAUCCGAACUUCCGAAUUACUGAAUUCGAAUUUGUUAUACAACACUAGCUGAUAGGCUGGCAGCCGGCCCAACUAUUUCAACUAGGCCCCGCUUGAUAAGACUAAAAUCUGGUGUUCGAAGUUUGAAAGUGUUUAAAGCAUUAAAGUGUUGAAUUAAUAUUAAUAAAAUUAUGCUCCAUUUAGUUGGUUGACAACUAAUAGAAUUAUAGCACUAAAUUAAAAUAUCGCACAAAUAUUAUUAUUUUUUUUAUCUUUUAUUAAAUUGAAACAUUGCUCCGUCUAUUAUCAAGCAUGUUGAAUUCAAAACACUCCAAAUGAAUUAAUUUUCAACAGUAAAUAGAGAGUUAUGAAACAGGCCCUAAGAUUCCAUGUACCAUUUUUUAACUUUACAUAUUUGACGCAAUAGCAGAUCAACAUUUUACUUUGUAUAUAAAAGGUGUGUUAUAGUUUGGUGUAGACUUUUUUUUUUUUUUUUUUCACUUUUUAAAAAGCCCAACUUUACUCUCACAACAAACUUAAUUUUACAUUUCUAAUCUAAUCACAUAACCUUCCAGAAGCCUAUAUUGUCAACCAACACAAUCACAACUGAGUUUCACCUUCACUAUUCAAAUGCUUUUUUUUUUUUUGAGGAACUAUUCAAAUGCAUAUUAUUACCUGCAUAACUACCAAUCAACAUUAUAAUCACCAAAUUAAUUUUAAAAACCUAUUCAGAAAACAAUUAUGAAUCAAGGGUUUUUUUUUCUUUUUAAUGAAACUGUAUACUCAAUUUUUUCAUAUAAAAAAUAAUUUGUUCUAGAAUUGCACAUACAUUGAACAAUAGGGUCUAAAAGAACUCAAUUAUAGAACUUGUCACACGCAUGCUAUUAUGACCCCAUGGAAAUGGGGUAGCAUAACCGUCCUGAGCAGUUAAUGACCAUGAUUUGGUCAAAAAAUUUUGUGCGGUCCUGAUAACAAGUUAUGCAUCAAUUUUCACAUCGUGUGUGGGACCCGCAAAAUUUUGUACUAAAGUUACACGUUAUACAAAUAAAAUUACACCGCUGUUAAAAAUGGCCAAAACCGUUGAGGACGGUUGCACCCUGCCCCUUGUCCAUGACCCCAUGCUCAUUUUGUAUAGACAAAGAAGUUCCGUAAGGUUUCCUGACUGAGUCUGGUCCUUCGGGCUGCCGGUGGAAAUGUUGCUAAAUCUUAUGUCAGCGCUUUAGUGGCUAAACGGUGUUAUACACAAGGAAUUAUUUUACAAAAAAAGUUAUUUAUUUGCAUUAUAAUCAUAUUUUUAAUACAUUUCUUUUAUCUUUUUAAUAUAUUUUUAUCUCAUAUAUAUUAUAUUAUAAAAAAUAUUAUAAUAAUUAUUUUAAAUAAUAUUUUAAAUAAUCUCUUAUCCCUAACAUUUUGUAGUAUUUGUUAACGUGAAUGACAUCCUGUCGAGAAUGUAAGUAUAGUCUAACUAUAUGACUAAAAAAAAAAAAAUUUCCCCCAAUUUUUUUUAUUUGAUUGGAAUGAUGCAUAAAUUUUUCAAAAUGAAAAGAAUUACUGGAGAUAAAAUUGUUCUACAAAAUCCUUCAAAAAGGAACAAAGGGGAAAAAAAAAUUCAGGGACAAAGAAUGAGAAGACUUUGUGAAGAACACGGGGCGUCUGCAAUCUUAAAAUAUUCAAAAGCUAUUCAAACACAGGUCAACAAAAAAGAAAAGUCAAACUCAAAUACGGAAUGAGUGAGGAAGCCAACUCCCUAACGGCCCCUAUAAACCGCGCGAACAGUGGACUGACACCCCUUACAAUCCGCAUCCAAAAGGCCUUGUUAAUUUCAUCUUCCUCCCCUCUUCCCUCCCUCUCCAACUCUCCCGGACAGCCCUUCUUCUUUUUCUUGGGAUUUCUCUCAAUUCUAUCACCAAAUAAAUCUACACAAAUCAUCCCACUUCCUUAAACUUCCCAAAAAAAAAGAGAGUAAAAAGUAAGCCAAAAAACUGGUUUCAAGAAAGAACAACACUUCAGUACUACUAUUCGAUUGCAGAGCUGACUGUAUUCACUAGCAAUGGCUGUUUCAGACAAGUUUCAAAGAGCAUCUUUGAUCCCAUCUUUUGUUUAUUCUCCUCCUUCGUUGUCGUCAAGGGGAUUGAUUGAUGUGGAGAGCCCUUUUCUGAUGUCUAGUGCUUCAUUUUCGCACUCCAGUGUUUCAUCAUCAGCACGGAAUGAAGGGAUUGUGAAGAAAGAUUUUGUGAUUCCAGCGCCUAAUGAGCCCACUGGAAAGAUUAAGAUGUUUUCGCCCGCUUAUUAUGCUGCUUGCACUGCAGGAGGAAUUUUUAGUUGUGGGCUAACUCAUAUGGCUGUCACCCCUCUUGAUCUGGUCAAGUGUAAUAUGCAGGUUAAUAACUUCAUUCAUGACGAUGCACUGUUUUAUUUUUAUUUUUUCAUUCUCCUUUUCGGAUUAUCUGUUAGGCUCUAUUUUGCAUUGGAAUCAAUGUAGUAAGGGUGUCCGUGAAAGAGAUGCGAGAUAAGGAAUUUUAUUAGAUUAGGUAGAGAAAUUAUACUAAGCAGUAAGUUUAGACUAUUAGAUCUUGGUUCUUUAUUGUAAUUGUUAUUGAAUUUUAUACAUUUUAUUUUAUACUAUAUUAAGUGAGAAAUAUACUUGCGAUAUAUUUACAUUUAUCUUGUAUUUAGCAUUUUAUCAAUGAUUCCAAAAUGUAAGAGAAGAACUGAACUAUCUUGAGCACCAAAAAAAAAAAAAAGCCUUUUGGGGAUUUCUUCAUUUACCUUUCCCUUCCUUUGCUGAAGGUAAUAGCUAUCGUUACUUUGUUAAUGCAUUCUCAGUUCUACGUUUGUACAUGAUCAGAAGCAGUUGUUUUCUCUGCUGGAAAAAAAUGAUUAGAUGCAAAAAUUGAAACAGAAAUUUCAUGUUGUGCAAAUAUGUAGGUGAAUCAUUGUUAUAGGAGUACUUCUAAAGCCAUGCCAUUUGCCUCUUUAGUGCUUCUAAUUUGUGUGGCAUAAUCUUUAAUCCACUCAUUGUCUGAAUUUGUAGUAAGAUGCAUUAGGUAUCUUAGUAUUAUAUAUAUAAAAAAAGAAGGUAUAUUAGUGUUUGUUUUUUGGAAGAAACAGUGGUGGUAUGUCACCAGGAUUCAGCCAUAAAACAUCAUGCAAUUAAUUAAAUCUUUAUUGUUCUUCUGUUAAGCUAAUGGUGUAGUAAUUGAAUUAACUUGAUAAUCCUUAUGUAUUCAGAUUGACCCUGCAAAAUACAAGGGCAUUACUUCUGGUUUCGGUGUUUUACUCAAGGAGCAAGGUGCAAGAGGUUUUUUUAGGGGUUGGGUGCCAACCCUGCUUGGUUAUAGUGCUCAGGGAGCUUGCAAGUUUGGAUUCUAUGAAUUCUUUAAGAAAUACUACUCUGAUAUUGCCGGUCCUGAGUAUGCAGCCAAGUAUAAAACUUUGAUCUACCUUGCUGGCUCUGCAUCUGCUGAAUUCAUUGCUGAUGUUGCCCUUUGUCCCUUCGAAGCAGUUAAGGUUCGUGUCCAGACUCAACCUGGAUUCGCCAGAGGCAUAUCAGAUGGACUUCCCAAGUUUAUCAAGGCUGAAGGUCCACUU